Non-coding RNA from Zootermopsis nevadensis, 302 nucleotides. The record is from RefSeq and is a predicted model, not a curated record. Lineage: Eukaryota; Metazoa; Arthropoda; Insecta; Blattodea; Termopsidae.
UCUGAAUCAUUUUCCAGCCUGAUAUUCAUGGUUCCAGUAGCAUGUGGCCUGUUUCCACAGAGGUGUUCUUUGAGAACGACUACGUUGGAGUGGCUGGAGCCAGAAAUGUAUCACAAACUGAAGGAGGCCUGCGCUGGAAGGGAGGUACCCAAAUAUGUGUACUUCAACAAAGGCCUGUGAAGUUCAGUGUUGUAUUUCCAUCCAAUGUUCAUACUCUGCUCUGCACUGCGGGGUAUGGUUUACAGUUUGCUCUAGAGUUACGCUAUUCACUUACCUCAGAAAUAAAAUUAAUUAAUAAUAUA